AGUGAACGCUGGCGGUAGGCCUAACACAUGCAGGUCGAACGGCAGCACAGUAAGAGCUUGCUCUUACGGGUGGCGAGUGGCGGACGGGUGAGGAAUACAUCGGAAUCUACUUUUUCGUGGGGGAUAACGUAGGGAAACUUACGCUAAUACCGCAUACGACCUACGGGUGAAAGCAGGGGAUCUUCGGACCUUGCGCGAUUGAAUGAGCCGAUGUCGGAUUAGCUAGUUGGCGGGGUAAAGGCCCACCAAGGCGACGAUCCGUAGCUGGUCUGAGAGGAUGAUCAGCCACACUGGAACUGAGACACGGUCCAGACUCCUACGGGAAGCAGCAGUGGGGAAUAUUGGACAAUGGGCGCAAGCCUGAUCCAGCCAUACCGCGUGGGUGAAGAAGGCCUUCGGGUUGUAAAGCCCUUUUGUUGGGAAAGAAAAGCAGCAGGUUAAUACCCCGCUGUUCUGACGGUACCCAAAGAAUAAGCACCGGCUAACUUCGUG
This 492-nucleotide ribosomal RNA is filed under the name uncultured bacterium. Its description in RNAcentral is "partial 16S ribosomal RNA". It matches the Rfam family "Bacterial small subunit ribosomal RNA", at positions 29 to 507 of the family's 1533-position model. The record is from RNAcentral.